This 488-nucleotide ribosomal RNA is filed under the name uncultured soil bacterium. Its description in RNAcentral is "bacterial SSU rRNA". It matches the Rfam family "Bacterial small subunit ribosomal RNA", at positions 26 to 517 of the family's 1533-position model. The record is from RNAcentral.
AGAAUCAACGCUGGCGGCGUGCCUCAGACAUGCAAGUCGAACGAUUAAAGCUCUCUUCGGAGAGUGUAUAGAGUGGCGCACGGGUGAGUAACACGUAAGUAAUCUACCUUCGAGUGGGGAAUAACGUUCGGAAACGAACGCUAAUACCGCAUAAUGCAGCGGCAUCGCAAGAUGACAGUUGUUAAAGGAAUUUAUUUCGCUUGAAGAGGAGCUUGCGGCAGAUUAGCUUGUUGGUAAGGUAACGGCUUACCAAGGCUACGAUCUGUAUCCGGUCUAAGAGGACGGUCGGACACACUGACACUGAAUAACGGGUCAGACUCCUACGGGAGGCAGCAGUCGGGAAUUUUGGGCAAUGGGCGAAAGCCUGACCCAGCAACGCCGCGUGAAGGAUGAAGUAUUUCGGUAUGUAAACUUCGAAAAGAAUGGGAAGAAAUAAAUAGAACGGUACCAAUUUAUAAAGCUACCGGCUAACUACGUGCCAGCAGCCG